RNAcentral lists this transfer RNA (83 nucleotides) under Gammaproteobacteria bacterium. RNAcentral's name for it is "tRNA-Leu". It matches the Rfam family "tRNA". Rfam says of the family: Transfer RNA (tRNA) molecules are approximately 80 nucleotides in length. Their secondary structure includes four short double-helical elements and three loops (D, anti-codon, and T loops). RNAcentral also lists the same sequence under 2 other names. Lineage: Bacteria; Pseudomonadati; Pseudomonadota; Gammaproteobacteria. The record is from RNAcentral.
GCCGGGAUGGCGGAAUUGGUAGACGCGCCUGAUUUAGGAUCAGGUGUCCCCUGGACGUGCAGGUUCGAGUCCUGUUCCCGGUA